Molecule: long non-coding RNA, 2564 nt
Filed under: Brassica napus (rape)
Lineage: Eukaryota; Viridiplantae; Streptophyta; Magnoliopsida; Brassicales; Brassicaceae
Description: long non-coding RNA (BNAP_LNC022141)
Source: RNAcentral
CUCGAUUUGACCAAUCAGUUUCGUAUCUAAAACCUCGUCGACUAUCCCUUUCGAUAAGCAGAACAACGCCCAUUCCGCGAGGUUCACUUCCUCGUGCGGAAGAUCGUGCGCGAGAGCAGGUCUCGCGCACAGAACCUCGAGGAGUACGACUCCGAACGCGUACACAUCCGAUUUCUCCGUGAAGAUGUGCGUCUGCAGAUACUCCGGGUCGAGGUAACCGAACGUCCCUUUGAUGUUCAUGCUGAUAUUGACCGGAUCUUGUUCGCGGACCGCGAGUUUCGAGAGCCCGAAAUCCGCAACUUUGGCCACGUUGUUCUCGUCUAGUAGUAUGUUUGUUGAUUUGACGUCUCUGUGGAUGAUUCCUUCCGAGCCGCUGUGGAGAUAAUGCAAUCCUCUGGCUGCUCCAAUGCAUAUCUCUAGCCUCUGUUUCCACGUCAACGAAGGCAUAUCCGAGCCGUAGAGAUGCUCUUUAAGCGUACCUUUCUCCAUAUACUCGUAGACAAGGAUCAUCUCCGCGUUUUCGUCGCAGUAGCCUUUUAAAGAAACGAGGUGUUUGUGCCGGAUUCUUGACAAGACUUGGAUCUCCGUUUGAAACUCUUGUAUCCCUUGUCCUGAACCGGUCUUUGCUCUCUUGAUAGCUGCCCUGCUUCCAUCCGGAAGAAUGGCUUUGUAGACGUCUCCAAAACCGCCUUUCCCGAUCAACCACUGGGGGUCGAAGUUGUUUGUAGCUCUCCGAAUGUCUGCGAAUGCAAUCUUCAAGCCUAAGUUUAGGUUGCGUAGUGGCGAGUUAUGGACCGGAUCGAAAGGUCUAUUGGUGCGUAAUGGCGAAUUAUAGACCGGAUCGAAUAGUCUAUUGUCGGAGCUCCCACCUCUGUACAGUUCCACAGGAGACCAUAUAGUGGCCUCCUCCUCUGGCUUCUUCUUCUUCUUCGAUCUCCUCCGUUUCAAGAAAAAAAUGGUAAACAACAAACUCAAAACCAGGAUAGAAACAGCAGCAACACAACCAAUAAUGAUGUGAACCAGGGAACUACUUUUAUGAUGACGCUGUGGACGGCGAGCUUAAGGUCGCGGAGGUUGAGAGGUGCAUUGAGGCUGUCACGGAAGGACCCGCCGCGGAGGAUAUGAGGAGGAGAGCGACAGAGCUGAAGAAUGCAGCGAGAUCGGCGUUGGAGCCUGGUGGUUCGUCGGCUCGGAAUGUGGACUUGUUCAUCGCCCAUAUCACAACCACCUGACUAUGCUUCUGCUUUGAUUUACUCUUUUUUAAACCGGCGAUAACCGGUUUUUUGUUUCAGCAUUUGAACCCAAUGUUCAUUAAAAUGAGUAAUUGAAUUUUAAUAAAAGUAUUAUAUUUUUUAAGUUUUUCCAAUUAGUUUGUCUCAAACAAAAUUCAGCUCAUGAUUUUACAAAAGUUGAACCAAGCGGUUACUAAAAUAAGUAACUGGAAUAUUAAAAUAUAUUAUGAAGUUUUUCCAAUAAUAAAAGAAGUUGGAGAAGGUGACUUUAAUCAAAUGGUCUAAUGUUCACUUUUGCGAACUUCUUCAUCCAGUUCGAUUCGACAAAACAAGUUUUCUACAUUGUAAGAUCGACCUUUAUCAAUCUAAUUGGUGAAAAAAAAUAGUGACAAUAGCUAAUUCUGUUAAACAGUUCAUAUUAUUUUUGUUAAAUAGAGUUCAUGAAAUAUAAUAACUAAAAUCAUUACAUUUGUGAAAGAAAAAAAAGACUCCAAUCAUUACACAAAAAAAGUUUUGAAAAAUAUUUCAUUACUUUUUAAAUCUAUUAGUAUAAUUUUUUAUCAACUUUUAAAUCUAUAAAAUUCCAAACGGACCAAUUGGAUAUGAUGAUUUCCAUACCGGUUAACCAGUAUGGACACGGUAAGUUUGGGAAACCCGGUUAACGCAAAGCCUUUUUUUAUCUUGCUUCAGAGAUCUUCAACUGGGAGAAAACCCGAGUCUCGGAUGAAUCUCCAUCGCUGCUCUUCUUCUGAACAAACGAGUUGUCGCUAAACGAAUCACUCACCAUCAACCUCGGAACCACCAACGAGUUUCCACCUCCAACGCCAGAGAUCGUCAUGGUGCUAUCCUCGUGAGGCUCUCUCUGAACCGGCGUCAUGUGAAGCUGCAGAACAUACUCAAGAUCCCAGAUCACGUCCCCCAUGCUCGGCCUCUCUUCGCCGCAGUCCCUUAAACACUUCUCAACAAUCUCCAUGAACUUCCUCAAAGAACUCGCCUCGAUUUGACCAAUCAGUUUCGUAUCUAAAACCUCGUCGACUAUCCCUUUCGAUAAGCAGAACAACGCCCAUUCCGCGAGGUUCACUUCCUCGUGCGGAAGAUCGUGCGCGAGAGCAGGUCUCGCGCACAGAACCUCGAGGAGUACGACUCCGAACGCGUACACAUCCGAUUUCUCCGUGAAGAUGUGCGUCUGCAGAUACUCCGGGUCGAGGUAACCGAACGUCCCUUUGAUGUUCAUGCUGAUAUUGACCGGAUCUUGUUCGCGGACCGCGAGUUUCGAGAGCCCGAAAUCCGCAACUUUGGCCACGUUGUUCUCGUCUAGUAGUAUGUUUGUUG